RNAcentral lists this transfer RNA (73 nucleotides) under Leptobrachium liui (Chong'an moustache toad). RNAcentral's name for it is "tRNA-Leu". The record is from RNAcentral. Lineage: Eukaryota; Metazoa; Chordata; Amphibia; Anura; Megophryidae.
GCUUUUAAAGGAAAACAGCUUAUCCACUGGCUUUAGGAGCCAUCACCUCCUGGUGCAAUUCCAGGUAAAAGCU